RNAcentral lists this ribosomal RNA (325 nucleotides) under uncultured bacterium. RNAcentral's name for it is "bacterial SSU rRNA". It matches the Rfam family "Bacterial small subunit ribosomal RNA", at positions 20 to 350 of the family's 1533-position model. The record is from RNAcentral.
UGGCUCAGAACGAACGCUGGCGGCGUGUUUAACACAUGCAAGUCGAGCGGAAAGGCCCUUCGGGGUACUCGAGCGGCGAACGGGUGAGUAACACGUGAGCAACUUGCCCCUGGCUCUGGGAUAGCUCCGGGAAACCGGGAUUAAUACCGGAUAUGACCUCCUGCUGCAUGGCGGGGGGAGGAAAGUUUUUCGGAUGGGGACGGGCUUGCGGCAUAUCAGCUAGUUGGAGGGGUAACGUCCUACCAAGGUGGUGACGGGUAGCCGGCCUGAGAGGCCGACAGGCCCCAUUGGGAUUGAGACACGGCCCAAGAUCCUACGGGAGGCA